This 325-nucleotide long non-coding RNA is filed under the name Pan troglodytes (chimpanzee). RNAcentral describes it as "long non-coding RNA NONPTRT008412". The record is from RNAcentral. Lineage: Eukaryota; Metazoa; Chordata; Mammalia; Primates; Hominidae.
UCAGGUCGAUCCGGCACACACAGGGAGGGUGGGGGCGAGUGAAGCUGCGCUUUUUCUAAAGAAGUCUGGCCUCUCGGACAUUAUCCUUGGGAAGAUAUGGGACUUGGCCGAUCCAGAAGGUAAAGGGUUCUUGGACAAACAGGGUUUCUAUGUUGCACUGAGACUGGUGGCCUGUGCACAGAGUGGCCAUGAAGUUACCUUGAGCAAUCUGAAUUUGAGCAUGCCACCGCCUAAAUUUCACGACACCAGCAGCCCUCUGAUGGUCACACCGCCCUCUGCAGAGGCCCACUGGGCUGUGAGGCCACAGUCAGAAAGAACAAGCCCG